This 531-nucleotide long non-coding RNA is filed under the name Phascolarctos cinereus (koala). RNAcentral describes it as "lncRNA (ENSPCIG00000018811.2)". Lineage: Eukaryota; Metazoa; Chordata; Mammalia; Diprotodontia; Phascolarctidae. The record is from RNAcentral.
AUGGGGUGGAAUUUUCCAGCAAUUCUUCUGUCUUUGAUCUUCAUCAUUCUGGCAUUCGCCACAGUGGCAGUUCUAGUCCUGAAAUAUAUACAACACAAGAAAAAAUCGUUUGGACCUUGCAGUGCAGAACAACAGGAGUGUCUUUUGAAGUGCCAGGAUCAGAAAGCUCAAUGUGAGGAAUCCAUCGCACAAUCUACAGACUCCUUUAACAUUCCAGCAACAUCUUCAACCAGCCUAAGUUACUUGGCUAAAAAUACCCCAAAUACAAUCCACGGAGAUAUCUGGUUACAAGGAACAAUUGAAGAUGGCAUUGACUUAGGAGAAGAAAAAAUCUACUAUUUUGAAGAGGAAUGCUUCCAGGAAAAUGGGGGGGAAGCCAGCAAAAAUAAAACCAAGGAAAGAAAUGAAGUUCUCCUUGAAGAGGAAGAAAGGGAAGAUGGGAAGGCUAAAGUGGACAAGGAGAAGGAAACAGAACAAGAAAAGAGCAUGAUGUAUAAAAGAACAAAAAAUAGGAUGAAAGCAAGAAAUUGA